AGAGUUUGAUUCUGGCUCAGAACGAACGCUGGCAGCGUGGAUUAGGCAUGCAAGUCGAACGAGAAGUUCACUGUUCAAUCUUCGGAAAGUUCAGUGAAUGGAAAGUGGCGGAAGGGUGAGGAACACGUGGGCAACCUGCCCUCAAGUUCGGGACAACCAUUGGAAACGAUGGCUAAUACCGGAUGUGGAUUUCUGUCGCAUGACAGGACAUCUAAAGCUGGGGAUUCUUCGGAACCUGGCGCUUGUGGAGGGGCCCGCGUCCCAUCAGUUAGUUGGUAAGGUAACGGCUUACCAAGGCUAUGACGGGUAGCUGGUCUGAGAGGAUGGUCAGCCACACUGGGACUGAGACACUGCCCAGACUCCUACGGGAGGCUGCAGUCGAGGAUCAUUCGCAAUGCGCGAAAGCGUGACGAUGCGACGCUGCGUGGAGGAUGAAGGCUUUCGGGUUGUAAACUCCUGUCAUGAGGGAAAAGUAACCUGGCGAUUAAUACUCGCUAGGAUCGAUGGUACCUCAAGAGGAAGCCACGGCUAACUCUGUGCCAGCAGCCGCGGUAAUACAGAGGUGGCGAGCGUUGUUCGGAUUUACUGGGCGUAAAGGGUGCGUAGGUGGUAAUGUAUGUCGGAUGUGAAAUCCCAUGGCUCAACUGUGGAACUGCAUUCGAAACUGCAUAACUAGAGUGCAGGGGGGGAGAGCGGAAUUCUUGGUGUAGCGGUGAAAUGCGUUGAUAUCAAGAAGUACACCGGCGGCGAAGGCGGCUCUCUGGAAUGUUACUGACACUGAUGCACGAAAGCUAGGGGAGCAAACAGGAUUAGAUACCCUGGUAGUCCUAGCUGUAAACGUUGUGAACUUGGUGUUGGCGGUAUUGAUCCCGCCAGUGCCGGAGCUAACGCAUUAAGUUCACCGCCUGGGGAGUACGGUCGCAAGACUAAAACUCAAAGAAAUUGACGGGGGCCCGCACAAGCGGAGGAGCAUGUGGCUUAAUUCGAUGCAACGCGAAGAACCUUACCAGGGCUUGACAUCGUGACCCUUCGGGGGUGGAAGCGAAAGCUUCCUUUACAAUGACAGGUGCUGCAUGGCUGUCGUCAGUUCGUGCCGUGAGGUGUUUGGUUAAGUCCAGCAACGAACGCAACCCUUGUGGUUAGUUGCCACUCCCGAUUAACGUCGGGAAGCACUCUAGCCAGACUGCCUGUACAAGCAGGAGGAAGGUGGGGAUGACGUCAAGUCAGUAUGGCCCUUACGCCCUGGGCUGCACACGUGCUACAAUGGUCGGUCCAGAAGGAUGCAAUACCGCGAGGUGGAGCAAAUCCCCAAAGCCGGCCUCAGUUCGGAUUGGAGUCUGCAACUCGACUCCAUGAAGUUGGAUUCGCUAGUAACGGCGUAUCAGCUACGACGCCGUGAAUACGUUCCCGGGCCUUGUACACACCGCCCGUCACAUCAUGAAAGCCGUCUGCACCCGAAGUCGCUGAGCUAACCCGCAAGGGAGGCAGGUGCCGAAGGUGUGGGUGGUAAUUGGGAUGAAGUCGUAACAAGGUA
Molecule: ribosomal RNA, 1534 nt
Filed under: metagenome
Description: bacterial SSU rRNA
Rfam family: Bacterial small subunit ribosomal RNA
Source: RNAcentral